AGGACGAACGCUGGCGGCGUGCUUAACACAUGCAAGUCGAGCGGAAAGGCCCUUCGGGGUACUCGAGCGGCGAACGGGUGAGUAACACGUGAGUAAUCUGCCCCUAGCUCUGGGAUAGCUCCGGGAAACCGGGAUUAAUACCAGAUACGACCACUUUAGACAUCUUCUGUGGUGGAAAGAACUUCGGCUAGGGAUGAACUCGCGGCCUAUCAGCUUGUUGGUGAGGUAACGGCUCACCAAGGCGACGACGGGUAGCCGGCCUGAGAGGGCGACCGGCCACACUGGGACUGAGACACGGCCCAGACUCCUACGGGAGGCAGCAGUGGGGAAUAUUGCGCAAUGGGCGAAAGCCUGACGGAGCGACGCCGCGUGCACGAGGAAGGUCUUCGGAUCGUAAAGUGCUGUCGAGGGGGACGAUUAUGACGGUACCCUGGAGGAAGCCCCGGCUAACUACGCGCCAGCAGCCGC
This 468-nucleotide ribosomal RNA is filed under the name uncultured bacterium. Its description in RNAcentral is "SSU rRNA". It matches the Rfam family "Bacterial small subunit ribosomal RNA", at positions 26 to 518 of the family's 1533-position model. The record is from RNAcentral.